AUCAGAGAAGACACAAUCUCCCAGCAUCCACCUGUAUUUGCAUCAUGUAGCUGUGGUGCCACCUAACUGUUUAAUUACAUUAACAUGUAAACUAGUGAUAAAUUCCAGUAAAUUAAAAUAUAUUGAGCUUUGAUACCUCCUAUUAAGAAAAGAAAAUGUCAUCCACCACACGAUAUAAGCCUUUACAAGUAAAGGUGAAGGAUAGUGUUGUACUAGAAAUAGCAUGUGUGCUUGCCACCCGCUGUCCGCUAGGUGGCAGCACCUUUAUUUCACGCUGCCACAUGACUGAACUCCAGUGAUGAAAGCCUGAUCCACCACAGAACAGCAUCAGAAAGCUGAUGCAGCUCAGUUAACGUCUCCGAGGAGUGUGUCAGGCCAGACUUUAAAUGUCAGCAGCAGAGAGGAAUCUAUGGGCCAAGUUUCCACCGAGUGCUCUGCAGAAGGAGACGUGUGGGUGGCGUCACGUGACGUCACCGUGUCAGCGACGUGCAGCUGUGCUCUACUCACCCUCCUUGAAUUGGUUUGACUGCCCUGUUCAGGCCCCAGGCAGCUUUUAUGCAGGUGGAAAAUGGAGGUUGGACCUAACUGGACAGAGCCCGGUGGAGAGGAGCAGGACGGGGGGAUGGGGACAACGCGCCUGCUGGAGCUGAUGCUGCUGAGCCUUGGAGGAAGUAGGUCAAAGCUGACCUUGGUGGCAGCCGAGCUGCAACUCGAGGGCAGAAACCCAAAUAACCCAGCCAUGAAAAUAAAAAUCAAUGCAGGAAGUGGAUCUGUUGCCAGAAGGUAGUUCUCCAAGGUCAACGGCCCCGGCAGACGGACUAUCACAUUCAGCCUCUCCACCCAGUCACACAGAUGCAGACCAACAGCAGACAAUAGGGAAUGUGCCCACAACACCAUGCUGCCCACCUCAGACGGGCACUGAGCCUGUCUCUCAACAGAAGUGAACGAGUGCCAGUCACGCUGCGGCGAGCCGAGCAGACUGGACACGUUGGCUGCAGAGUGGGUGCCGCUCCAUCAGGCCCCCGUCUGCGUGGUGGAGGAAACCCUGAGUCCAGCUGUCUGGUUCCUCAGAUCCUCCGCGCAGAAGGUCAGAGUGGAAGCCUGGAACGCGCUGAUUGGACUCGUGCUGCACCGGAGGGUGUUUUUCCUCAGAUCCUCUCCAAGGAAAACGUGUGAUCUAGUGCUAAUCGGACACUUCAUAGCAUUGUUGUUUGUGCAAUGUAAAGGAAUGGACAGCACACGCUGAAGUUAAAGGCCCGAUUCCUGCGAUGUCGUGCAGAAGGAGAACGCCCGGCUCUUCUCCGGGAGCUCAGUCCCUUAAUUAUCCUGCAAAGGUCACGACAGGCAGCCCUCAGCGCGUUUAUCCAUCAGGCGAUGAUCCGCCACGAGCCACGGCAGACAGUCCUGCAGAGGGCGCUGUGCUGGCCACAUAUGCAGUUGCUCAGUAGGAAUUUACUGUAGAUUCAAGAAAAGGUUGUGAUUUUUGUUCAGUAAAAGUAUGUUUUGAGUGACUGAAAAUAGUUUUGCCUACUUAACCUAAGUAUUUAAUAAACUACAUUCUCAUUGCA
Long non-coding RNA from Betta splendens (Siamese fighting fish), 1568 nucleotides. The record is from Ensembl. Lineage: Eukaryota; Metazoa; Chordata; Actinopteri; Anabantiformes; Osphronemidae.